GCAAGUCGAGCGAACAGAUGAGAAGCUUGCUUCUCUGAUGUUAGCGGCGGACGGGUGAGUAACACGUGGGUAACCUACCUAUAAGACUGGGAUAACUCCGGGAAACCGGGGCUAAUACCGGAUAAUAUUUUGAACCGCAUGGUUCGAUAGUGAAAGACGGUUUCGGCUGUCACUUAUAGAUGGACCCGCGCCGUAUUAGCUAGUUGGUAAGGUAACGGCUUACCAAGGCGACGAUACGUAGCCGACCUGAGAGGGUGAUCGGCCACACCGGAACUGAGACACGGUCCAGACUCCUACGGGAGGCAGCAGUAGGGAAUCUUCCGCAAUGGGCGAAAGCCUGACGGAGCAACGCCGCGUGAGUGAUGAAGGUCUUCGGAUCGUAAAACUCUGUUGUUAGGGAAGAACAAAUUUGUUAGUAACUGAACAAGUCUUGACGGUACCUAACCAGAAAGCCACGGCUAACUACGUGCCAGCAGCCGCGGUAAUACGUAGGUGGCAAGCGUUAUCCGGAAUUAUUGGGCGUAAAGCGCGCGUAGGCGGUUUCUUAAGUCUGAUGUGAAAGCCCAUGGCUCAACCGUGGAGGGUCAUUGGAAACUGGGAAACUUGAGUGCAGAAGAGGAGAGUGGAAUUCCAUGUGUAGCGGUGAAAUGCGCAGAGAUAUGGAGGAACACCAGUGGCGAAGGCGGCUCUCUGGUCUGUAACUGACGCUGAUGUGCGAAAGCGUGGGGAUCAAACAGGAUUAGAUACCCUGGUAGUCCACGCCGUAAACGAUGAGUGCUAAGUGUU
Molecule: ribosomal RNA, 786 nt
Filed under: uncultured Staphylococcus sp.
Lineage: Bacteria; Bacillati; Bacillota; Bacilli; Caryophanales; Staphylococcaceae
Description: bacterial SSU rRNA
Rfam family: Bacterial small subunit ribosomal RNA
Source: RNAcentral